UCCUGGCUCAGGAUGAACGCUAGCUACAGGCUUAACACAUGCAAGUCGAGGGGCAGCAUUGGGAUAGCUGCUAUUCAGAUGGCGACCGGCGCACGGGUGAGUAACGCGUAUCCAACCUUCCUGCCAGUAGGGAACAGCCCGGCGAAAGUCGGAUUAAUGCCCUAUGUUCUUCAAUGCGGACAUCUAAGUUGAAGGAAAGAUUCAUCGCUGGCAGAUGGGGAUGCGUCCGAUUAGCUUGCCGGCGGGGUAACGGCCCACCGGGGCGACGAUCGGUAGGGGUUCUGAGAGGAAGGUCCCCCACACUGGUACUGAGACACGGACCAGACUCCUACGGGAGGCAGCAGUGAGGAAUAUUGGUCAAUGGGCGUAAGCCUGAACCAGCCAAGUAGCGUGCAGGAAUGACGGCCCUACGGGUUGUAAACUGCUUUUAUGCGGGGAUAAAGUGCGGCACGUGUGCCGCUUUGCAGGUACCGCAUGAAUAAGGACCGGCUAAUUCCGUGCCAGCCGCAGC
RNAcentral lists this ribosomal RNA (511 nucleotides) under uncultured bacterium. RNAcentral's name for it is "bacterial SSU rRNA". It matches the Rfam family "Bacterial small subunit ribosomal RNA", at positions 17 to 518 of the family's 1533-position model. The record is from RNAcentral.